UUCCUGCCUUCAGUUCAGUGACAGUCACAAAUCGUGGUGGGGAAGAUGCGUUGGUUACCUCUCUCGGUGGUACUGUUAUGGGCCUGUUCUCUUUACAGUGCCUCUGCGGAUAACAAUGGCGUCAAGAAAAUGAAGGUGCAAUUUGCCACCGGUCCACUUCUCAAAUUCCAGAUAUGUGUCUCCUGAGGAUACAAGCGGGUGUUUGAGGAGUACACGCAGGCUCUGUACCAGCGGUACCCAGACAUCCGCAUCGAAGGAGAGAACUACCUUCCUCUGCCUGUCUACAGGCACAUUGCUUCCUUUCUGUCUAUGUUUAAGCUGUUGUUAAUCGGCGUGAUCAUUGUGGGCAAGGAUCCAUUUGCUCUAUUUGGCAUGCAGGCCCCAGGUCUCUGGGUUUGGAGUCAAGAGAACAAGAUAUAUGCCUGUAUGAUGGUGUUCUUCUUCAGCAAUAUGAUCGAAAAUCAGUGUAUGUCUACGGGUGCUUUUGAAGUCACGCUCAAUGAUGUUCCAGUUUGGUCCAAGCUGGAGUCAGGCCACCUGCCUUCCAUGCAGCAACUAGUCCAAAUCCUGGAGAAUGAGAUGAAGAUGAACGUACACAUGGACACACUUCCACACCAUCGCUCGUAACCUUGCCUCUGAUUCGCUGAUUGGAGCCGGUGACCCCUCCAUGUAUGUUUAACCAUCAUAACCCUAACAAUUCUGUGGUGAAGCUCUCCUACGGUUGUGAGGUGACGUUUAUGAAGGUUUGCUCUGAAAGUAGAGACUCUACUAGCGCACGCCCGAUGUUCCGUGUUCUCCUCACCGUGCCCCUCGGAGAUGCACCACCUGCAGAUGCUGGUGUGGGAUCUACGGCAACAACAGUGGCCAUAUAAUUAUUGCAUCCCAUCUCUUGUACAAUAACCAUUUGGUUCAAAUCAGGAUAUAUGUUCACAAUGACUCCAAUUUUCAUUUAAGUUCAGUUAGCUCAGUCAACAGAAUUUAUGAUGCCAUGUUUUUCUUUCACAUCCUACUGUACUGCUAACUCUUGGUCUUUGUUUUAUUUGAUUAGUAGAUAUGAGAAGCUCCUAACUUAUACACCCAACCCCCAUCAUGAUUAUUUAACAACUAAGUAACAUUAAUUAUAUUUCUUAGCCCUGGAUUUUAUAUUGCUUUGUAUAGCUUAACAUGUUUACUAAAAGGAAAAUAAAAUUGAAUCAAACUAAA
RNA transcript from Carassius gibelio (silver crucian carp), 1203 nucleotides. It is a transcript of the gene named selenoprotein T, 1a, with no coding region annotated. The record is from RefSeq and is a predicted model, not a curated record. The transcript is spliced from 6 exons. NCBI's taxonomy places the organism in Eukaryota, Metazoa, Chordata, Actinopteri, Cypriniformes, Cyprinidae.